AGAGCGAACGCUGGCGGCAGGCCUAGCACAUGCAAGUCGAGCGGCCGUAGCAAUACGGCAGCGGCAGACGGGAUAGUAACACGUGGGAACGCGCCCUUCGGUUCGGAAUAACUCAGGGAAACUUGAGCUAAUACCGGAUACGCCCUUACGGGGAAAGAUUUAUUGCCGAAGGAACGGCCCGCGUCGGAUUAGCUAGUUGGUGAGGUAAUGGCUCACCAAGGCGACGAUCCGUAGCUGGUCUGAGAGGAUGACCAGCAUCACUGGGACUGAGACACGGCCCAGACUCCUACGGGAGGCAGCAGUGGGGAAUAUUGGACAAUGGGCGCAAGCCUGAUCCAGCCAUGCCGCGUGGAUGAUGAAGGCCCUAGGGUUGUAAGUCCUUUUAACGGGGAAGAUAAUGACGGUACCGUAGAAUAAGCCCGGCUAACUUCGCGCCAGCAGCCGC
This 445-nucleotide ribosomal RNA is filed under the name uncultured bacterium. RNAcentral's name for it is "SSU rRNA". It matches the Rfam family "Bacterial small subunit ribosomal RNA", at positions 26 to 518 of the family's 1533-position model. The record is from RNAcentral.